RNAcentral lists this ribosomal RNA (253 nucleotides) under uncultured bacterium. RNAcentral describes it as "partial 16S ribosomal RNA". It matches the Rfam family "Bacterial small subunit ribosomal RNA", at positions 524 to 776 of the family's 1533-position model. The record is from RNAcentral.
UACGUAGGGGGCAAGCGUUGUCCGGAAUCAUUGGGCGUAAAGAGCGCGUGGGCGGCCCUGUAAGUCCGCUGUGAAAGUCAAGGGCUCAACCCUUGGAUGCCGGUGGAUACUGCAGGGCUAGAGUCCGGAAGAGGCGAGUGGAAUUCCUGGUGUAGCGGUGAAAUGCGCAGAUAUCAGGAGGAACACCGAUGGCGAAGGCAGCUCGCUGGGACGGUACUGACGCUGAGGCGCGAAAGCGUGGGGAGCAAACAGG